UACGAAGGGGGCUAGCGUUGUUCGGAAUCACUGGGCGUAAAGCGCACGCAGGCGGAUUGAUAAGUCAGGGGUGAAAUCCUGGAGCUCAACUCCAGAACUGCCUUUGAUACUGGCGACCUUGAGUUCGGGAGAGGUGAGUGGAACUGCGAGUGUAGAGGUGAAAUUCGUAGAUAUUCGCAAGAACACCAGUGGCGAAGGCGGCUCACUGGCCCGAUACUGACGCUGAGGUGCGAAAGCGUGGGGAGCAAACAGG
This 253-nucleotide ribosomal RNA is filed under the name uncultured bacterium. RNAcentral's name for it is "partial 16S ribosomal RNA". It matches the Rfam family "Bacterial small subunit ribosomal RNA", at positions 524 to 776 of the family's 1533-position model. The record is from RNAcentral.